AGUGAACGCUGGCGGUAGGCCUAACACAUGCAAGUCGAACGGCAACACAGUAAGAGCUUGCUCUUACGGGUGGCGAGUGGCGGACGGGUGAGGAAUACAUCGGAAUCUACUUUUUCGUGGGGGAUAACGUAGGGAAACUUACGCUAAUACCGCAUACGACCUACGGGUGAAAGCAGGGGAUCUUCGGACCUUGCGCGAUUGAAUGAGCCGAUGUCGGAUUAGCUAGUUGGCGGGGUAAAGGCCCACCAAGUCGACGAUCCGUAGCUGGUCUGAGAGGAUGAUCAGCCACACUGGAACUGAGACACGGUCCAGACUCCUACGGGAGGCAGCAGAGGGGAAUAUUGGACAAUGGGAGCAAGCCUGAUACAGCCAUACCGCGUGGGUGAAGAAGGCCUUCGGGUUGUGAAGCCCUUUUGUUGGGAAAGAAAAGCAGCAGGUUAAUACCCCGCUGUUCUGACGGUACCCAAAGAAUAAGCACCGGCUAACUUCGUG
RNAcentral lists this ribosomal RNA (492 nucleotides) under uncultured bacterium. RNAcentral describes it as "partial 16S ribosomal RNA". It matches the Rfam family "Bacterial small subunit ribosomal RNA", at positions 29 to 507 of the family's 1533-position model. The record is from RNAcentral.